AGGUGGAGAAUUGCUUGAACCUGGGAGGUGGAGGUUGCAGUGAGCUGAGAUCACGCCACUGCACUCCAGCCUGGGC
This 76-nucleotide microRNA precursor is filed under the name Pan paniscus (pygmy chimpanzee). RNAcentral describes it as "miRNA (ENSPPAG00000009636.1)". The record is from RNAcentral. Lineage: Eukaryota; Metazoa; Chordata; Mammalia; Primates; Hominidae.